GUGAGGAAUUUUCCGCAAUGGGCGAAAGCCUGACGGAGCGACGCCGUGUGUGGGAUGACGUUUUUCGGAAUGUAAACCACUGUCAGGGGGGACGAUAUUGACGGUACCCCCAGAGGAAGGCCCGGCUAACUACGUGCCAGCAGCCGCGGUAAUACGUAGGGGCCAAGCGUUGUCCGGAAUCAUUGGGCGUAAAGGGCGUGUAGGUGGUUCGGUAAGUCAGAUGUUAAAUCUGCGGGCUCAACCCGCAGCCGCAUCUGAGACUGCCGGACUAGAGAAUGGUAGAGGAAAGCGGAACUUCCGGUGUAGCGGUGAAAUGCGUAGAUAUCGGAAGGAACACCAGUGGCGAAGGCGGCUUUCUGGGCCAUUUCUGACACUGAGGCGCGAAAGCUAGGGGAGCAAACGGGAUUAGAUACCCUUGUAGUCC
This 424-nucleotide ribosomal RNA is filed under the name uncultured bacterium. Its description in RNAcentral is "bacterial SSU rRNA". It matches the Rfam family "Bacterial small subunit ribosomal RNA", at positions 354 to 796 of the family's 1533-position model. The record is from RNAcentral.